This 464-nucleotide ribosomal RNA is filed under the name uncultured bacterium. Its description in RNAcentral is "partial 16S ribosomal RNA". It matches the Rfam family "Bacterial small subunit ribosomal RNA", at positions 28 to 507 of the family's 1533-position model. The record is from RNAcentral.
GACGAACGCUGGCGGCGUGCCUAACACAUGCAAGUCGAGCGAAUGAAGUUCCUUCGGGAAUGGAUUUAGCGGCGGACGGGUGAGUAACACGUGGGCAACCUGCCUCAUACAGGGGAAUAGCCUCCCGAAAGGGAGAUUAAUACCGCAUAAGAUUGUAGUACCGCAUGAUACAGCAAUUAAAGGAGCAAUCCGCUAUGAGAUGGGCCCGCGGCGCAUUAGCUAGUUGGUGAGGUAAUGGCUCACCAAGGCGACGAUGCGUAGCCGACCUGAGAGGGUGAUCGGCCACAUUGGGACUGAGACACGGCCCAGACUCCUACGGGAGGCAGCAGUGGGGAAUAUUGCACAAUGGGGGAAACCCUGAUGCAGCAACGCCGCGUGAGUGAUGACGGCCUUCGGGUUGUAAAGCUCUGUCUUCAGGGACGAUAAUGACGGUACCUGAGGAGGAAGCCACGGCUAACUACGUG